CCGUCCCUGGGAUCUUCAACAUCCAUAGAUGGUGGACUAAACACAGGUGCGAACCCACGCGACGCCGGCAGGUCCAGGCACAGGUGCAAACCCACGCGACGCUGGGUACAGGUGCAAACCUACACAACGCCAGAAGGUCCAGGCACAGGGGCAAACCCACGCAACGCUGGGUACAGGUGCAAACCUACACAACGCCAGAAGGUCCAGGCACAGGGGCAAACCCACGCAACGCUGGCAGGUCCAGGCACAGGUGCAAACCCAUGCGACGCCGGCAGGUCCAGGCACAGGUGCAAACCCACGUGACGCUGGGUACAGGUGCAAACCUACACAACGCCAGAAGGUCCAGGCACAGGGGCAAACCCAUGCAACGCUGGCAGGUCCAGGCACAGGUGCAAACCUACACGAUGCUGGACACAGGUGCAAACCUAUGUGUCACCGGCAGGUCCGGGUACAGGUGCA
This 459-nucleotide long non-coding RNA is filed under the name Homo sapiens (human). RNAcentral's name for it is "non-protein coding lnc-IDI1-5:2". The record is from RNAcentral. Lineage: Eukaryota; Metazoa; Chordata; Mammalia; Primates; Hominidae.